GAUCCUGGCUCAGGAUGAACGCUAGCGACAGGCCUAACACAUGCAAGUCGAGGGGCAUCAGGUAUCAGCUUGCUGAUACGCUGGCGACCGGCGCACGGGUGAGUAACGCGUAUGGAAUCUGUCUGGUAACAGGGGGAUAACCCGGAGAAAUUCGGACUAAUACCCCAUGCCGCCGGUUUUUGCAUGAAAGCCGGCGAAGGGUAACCGGUUACAGGUGAUCAUGCGUUCCAUUAGCUGGUUGGCGGGG
Molecule: ribosomal RNA, 247 nt
Filed under: uncultured bacterium
Lineage: Bacteria
Description: partial 16S ribosomal RNA
Rfam family: Bacterial small subunit ribosomal RNA
Source: RNAcentral